AAGGGUUGAACAAGGUCUAAACCCACUGAGCUAGCCACACUUUGUAUAGAAUUGCAGGAUUACACCUCCAAGCUUCUUGGCGUCUGAAGUGCCUACCCAUGUCGAAUCUAGUUCUACUUGUCUUUGAGGCAGAUCUUUUUUACUUUUUCGACAAAGGUUAUAAAGGAUACCCCUUUUCCUAAUGGGAGUAAACAGGGGACCGAAAAGGAUGCU
Non-coding RNA from Pelobates cultripes (western spadefoot toad), 213 nucleotides. The record is from the annotation of a GenBank genome assembly. Lineage: Eukaryota; Metazoa; Chordata; Amphibia; Anura; Pelobatidae.